GACGAACGCUGGCGGCGUGCCUAAUACAUGCAAGUUGAGCGAUGAAGAUUGGUGCUUGCACCAAUUUGAAGAGCAGCGAACGGGUGAGUAACGCAUGGGGAAUCUGCCUUUGAGCGGGGGACAACAUUUGGAAACGAAUGCUAAUACCGCAUAACAACUUUAAACAUAAGUUUUAAGUUUGAAAGAUGCAAUUGCAUCACUCAAAGAUGAUCCCGCGUUGUAUUAGCUAGUUGGUGAGGUAAAGGCUCACCAAGGCGAUGAUACAUAGCCGACCUGAGAGGGUGAUCGGCCACAUUGGGACUGAGACACGGCCCAAACUCCUACGGGAGGCAGCAGUAGGGAAUCUUCGGCAAUGGACGAAAGUCUGAACGAGCAACGCCGCGUGAGUGAAGAAGGUUUUCGGAUCGUAAAACUCUGUUGGUAGAGAAGAACGUUGGUGAGAGUGGAAAGCUCAUCAAGUGACGGUAACUAACCAGAAAGGGACGGCUAACUACGUG
Molecule: ribosomal RNA, 497 nt
Filed under: uncultured bacterium
Lineage: Bacteria
Description: partial 16S ribosomal RNA
Rfam family: Bacterial small subunit ribosomal RNA
Source: RNAcentral